CUUGAUUAUCGACACAUGAAAGUUUGUCAGCAUUGUCAAUCUUUUUAACGUUAAAGUACCAAUAGUUCGGUCACUACUCAAUUAAGUUUGUCGAUAACGUAGCUAAUUUUGACGGUAAAGAAACAUCAAUUCGAUCACUUCUCUGUUACGGGCUAUAUAGUUUAAAAAUAUAUUCUAGUGUUAAAAAUGUAAGAAAAUUCUUGAGAAAAUCAUUUCCCGC
This 220-nucleotide long non-coding RNA is filed under the name Mytilus galloprovincialis (Mediterranean mussel). The record is from RNAcentral. Lineage: Eukaryota; Metazoa; Mollusca; Bivalvia; Mytilida; Mytilidae.